RNAcentral lists this ribosomal RNA (510 nucleotides) under uncultured bacterium. Its description in RNAcentral is "partial 16S ribosomal RNA". It matches the Rfam family "Bacterial small subunit ribosomal RNA", at positions 28 to 507 of the family's 1533-position model. The record is from RNAcentral.
GACGAACGCUGGCGGCGUGCUUAACACAUGCAAGUCGAACGAAGAGCGAUGGAAGCUUGCUUCUAUCAAUCUUAGUGGCGGACGGGUGAGUAACGCGUAAUCAACCUGCCCUUCAGAGGGGGACAACAGUUGGAAACGCCUGCUAAUACCGCAUACGAUCUCAUCUCGGCAUCGAGGAUAGAUGAAAGGUGGCCUCUACAUGUAAGCUAUCACUGAAGGAGGGGAUUGCGUCUGUUUAGCUAGAUGGCGGGGUAGCGGACCACCAAGGUGAUGAUCAGUAGCAGGACGGAUAUGACGAACGGCCAGACUGGGACGGAGACACGGCCCAGACGCCUACGGGGAGCAGCAGUGGGGAAUCUGCCGGAAUGGGUGAAAGACUGACGGAGCAACGCCGCGGGAGGGAUGACGGCCGUCGGGUUGGAAAGCUCGGUUAAUCGGGACGAAAGGGCUUCUUGCGAAGAGUGAGAAGGAUUGACGGUACCGGAAUAGAAAGCCACGGCUAACUACGUG